UGGUGAAAUGGAUGUAAGCCUCGCAGAAUAAAUUUAGACUUGUACAGUUUACGAUACUCUUAAAGCACACAGCUCGGUAUGCCGAUUGAGAGAGAUGGAGUUUAAAUUAUAAAAGUUUAGUUAUGUAAGGGAUGCUUUUAGAAAAACAACUCAAAAAUCAGUUUUGAAUCACUUACAUAAAGAGUCGGUCAACAUUAAUACGCUAAAAUUAAAAGUUGGCGAAUAAAACAAAAAUGAAUGUUUGAAAUUGGCCUUUAAAGUUUAUUUAACAACCGUGUUCUAAUCGUGUUGUCUUUUUAAAGUAGUAAUGACAAUAAUGUAAUAUGCAAUAGUUGAGUGUGACCAAAGUAGCUUCAAUGAAAAUGCCCUGAAGGAGUAUGCUAGAAUACAAUACUUAUUAUGUCAAUAGACGGUUUUGAAUUCAAAGUGUGGCCUUCAUGUUGAUAGUAACGCCUGCAAGCAAUGGAAAGAAGAAGUGUGUGCGCAGUGUCCCAACUGGAAAUUGGAUGAGGAUCCCGAUAACCGUAUCGUUAAUGGUGCACAUAAAUUGAUGACAACAGAUGAAUGUAUGCGUCUGAAACGUGAUUUGCGACAUGCCUUUUUCACCAAUAAUGGUGAAACAGACUUUUGGAUAAUCCUGUUGCUUGUUUUGUUUAUAAUAUUUUGUAUGUCGCUGGCUCUGUGGCUUUUGGCAAAAGCGUUUGUCAUUUCGCAGCCACCCCAGAAGGAUUGCACUGAUAUCAGCAGUCAGGAUCGACAAGUGGGUGGCCGCUCUUCAGUGGAUGAUGUAGUGCAACAGUUGCAAGACAAGUGCACCGUUCCCAAACAUAGUGAUGGCUUUUUAUGUGCCUGCUUCCUUCUGGGAUAGAUUUCCAAUGAACGAGUUCGUACAGAAAACCAAGAAAACCGAAGAAAUGGCAUAUAAAGAGCAGUUCAAUGAAUCGGAUGCUGAAGCAACUAAUAUAUCAAGUGAUGCAGAAACUAACGAAUCAUUGCUUACUGAAGAAUUGAAUGAAGAUGAAGUUGUUACUGAUGCCUCAUCAAUUUCAGAAACAACCAAUAGAACUGGCGAUCAAUCUGAACAAUCAUCACACGAAGAUUCGACCUCCGGAUCCAAAGAUAUUAAGCGAACCACGUCCAUUGAUUCUAUUGAAAAGAUGCCCACACUUUAUGACCAAACAACGAAAAAUACAAAACCCGAUCAAAGACGUCGUAAAUUUCGGUGGGUAAAUUGGCUAAGACGCAGUAAGCCCGUCGAUUUCCAAGUCUAGAGUAGGCUGAGAUAUAUAUGCACCAAAAGAAAUAUCGGAAAACACAAAUACAUUUGAUUUAUACAAUGAAUCCAAGUUGCACUAACAAUAUUGAAAGUAUCGAGUGCCAAAAGUGGAUAAGUGAGGCUAUAGCGUUCUGCAAUCGCCUAUUGGUUGCAAAACAACACGAGUUCUGGGAUGAUUGGUGGCUAAACGGGCAUCCCAUCGUCUACUAUUAUCUGCCACAUUUUAAAUCCAUUUACGAUUGCCAAAAACUGAAGAAAGUCAUUGCGCGCCAACAAUCCGAACUAUCGUUUAACACAGAAGUUCCUCAGAUGGACGAGGAAAGACUUGAGCCAGCUUGGCAAACUGCAUUGAUAUUGAUUGUCGGAUGCUUGGCCUUGAUUGUUAUUGUAUCCAUGAUAUGGCUGCUGAAUAGUUCACUACGACGCAUUGCAGCACCACGAUUAAGGGACUGCGAGUGCUCGGGAUUCAGAAAAAAACGCUGUUGUGCCUCACCUAAAUCAUUCAUUUCAUUUGGCAAACCAUUUGGUCCUCUGUCGCGUUUCGGCCCUUAUAGAAGCAGAAGUAUUGUGGUUCCUAGUGGCACCUGCAGCGGCUUCAAACGAUAACUGAACUCAACUCAGCACAAUCUGAAGCGCUCCCUUGACCAUUGACAGCCAGAAGUGAACGCUACGCAACGCGAAAAAAAAAAUCGAGUUGGAAACCAGAAACCAGAAUUCAAAUCACCAAAAUGCACAGCAAAAAAUAACGACAAAUUUGAAAAAAAAAUGUAUAAAACCAAAAACAAAAUGACGCCUCGCGGUUGUGCUCAAUCGCAGAAAAGAUUUAUGAAAUGUGUUCCGGCUGGAUUUUUCUAUUUCUGCGGGCCAACACACACAAGCACAUAAAUAUCAGUGGCUGACAAGUACAGUGGCAUCGAAUUUCUAGUUUUCUAGUUAUAUAUUUUUUAUUAAAUGUGUUACAUUUUGCCAAAAAUCUAUUUGUCUUUAAUUCCAUGACCAAUAAAUGUUUCAAUGUGUCGACUCGUCUGCAAAUAAAUGCAAGGGUUGAAUAUGCAAAUGAUUAACACAAUAUUUUCUUUUAGUAACAACAGCAAGCACAUAUUGAAGAUGUAUUUCAAUCGUUCUUGUCAGAAUGCAGCAAUUAGAUACUAGAAUAAAUACAAUGUUUAUUAUUUAUUGAACUUGACAUAUCUGGAAGCUAAAAUAUGCCCAAGUUAUACAUAUUCUCUGUGUCCAAGUAGUAUUGUGAUUUUUUGUGUAAAAACAAAACAAUCUCUGUUUAUAUUUGUCUCAAAUUGGUUUACUAAGAUAACAUUUUUUUUAUUUUUGAUCAAAUAUAACACAAAAUCAAGCUUUUGCAGCCAUCAGUUUCCAAAUACGGUGAAGUUAUACGUCUUUUUAGUUUUACAAACAAUUCAAAUGGUUCUAAUCUGCUACACACGCGAUUCCUCGGCAAAUUCAGUGGAAGCGGCAAACAAAAAUGUUGAUCUAAAAAAAAAGAGCAUGCUGAGAGUGAAAUGCACAAAAUUGGCAAUAAAAAAUCAAUUGAAUUGAAUUUCGAAUUGAAUUGAAUUGAAAAUGAAUGGAUUGCGAAUUGAGUGAGCAUUUAAGUGAAAUUCAAGCAAAAUACUUUAUACAAAAAUCUAUUGGUUGUGCUAUUUCAUAUUUUCAAGACGGCUUGCUUUGUGAAGUCUGGCAAAUAAACUAUACUUUUCAAUUUAUGAA
Molecule: long non-coding RNA, 3001 nt
Organism: Drosophila albomicans
Lineage: Eukaryota; Metazoa; Arthropoda; Insecta; Diptera; Drosophilidae
Exons: 3
Source: RefSeq, a predicted model, not a curated record